UUCUUUCUUUCACUCUGCUUAUUAAAUGCUUGUGCGAUAAGUUUGGGGAAUCUGAAAAUGUGGACCGGAGCAGAAGAUUGAAACUCACCAGCAAUUGAGGAACGGUACUUUACUUGGUCUGUACUAAAUAAAUCAGUUUUUAGCUCUCACUGAUGAGCUUCUUUUGAGAUGAUGAUUCAUGUCAAAUUGUGGGGUGCUGUUUAUCGACCACGGUGAUGGUGGAACUCUGGUUCGGAUUUGGACUAGGGCCCCCCACAGGAUUGGACCUGCACAAGGAACACCCACCUUUAGCGGCUAACUGGUUGGAGCUGGCAGGGAAGGCAGUUUUUUGGUGAAGUAAUUAGCUGAAGGUGGAAGAAGGGUAAGGAAGCUCUAGGGUUAGUAUGGGCGGCGUACCUGUUAUGGUUUAGGCUUUACCCUUACAUAGAACCUCCAAACUUGUCCUCCAAGUAUACUCAUGUUCGGCAUGCGAGGUAACUGCUUGGGCUGAUGUCACAUAUGAUGUAGUCUGGAAGACGGUUAUAUGCUCACGUAUUUGAACCGCCUUCCGUAAAUUACCCGGGUUGGACCGGUCGGACCCGGGUUGGCUGUACGCGAACCAUACGGUUUGGAUAGGGUGACCUGGUUGCUCUGAAUUGGAUCUGUGCCUUUUGAGCCACAGGUGAAGGAUUCGGAACGAUGAGUCGGACCAAUGGUUUGGUCAAGCCUAAUCGCUGCAUGUUUCAUAGCCUAUCGUUCGCCGAGCCUCAUAUGGUCACAUGGCUGGGCCCAUCAAGGGUCCAACAGUUCGACCCACUAUACAUAUUUUUCUCUAAGGGUCUGUUUGGAUGGCAGGGAUAUGGAUUGGAUUACAUGUCUCAUGGGGUAAUUUGACUAAUUUAUAUCAUUUCAAUGCAAUGAUUGGUGGCAAAAUGUAUAUAUCUGUGGGGCAACCAAUUGUGUAAAACGCGGAAUAUCCGGUACCUUUGGGUAUGGUACGGUAAUUUCAUAAGUUUAGUCCAGUGGGAUUAGUAAUCCUAUGAAAUCAUAUAUCGCCUCAGUAUUAGUCCAGUGACUCCAGCCAAAUCAAACGUGGGGCCUAAGGUGUUUGCAAUCUUAGAACACUAGAUUUUAUAGGGAGACUCAUUGGAGUCCUGACAUCCCACAUCAGCUAUCUUCUGUGUUGAUACGGAAAAUAAUGCUUUCAUGUACGGAUAUGUUUAGGCCACAUUUUCUGCUGCUGUUUGUUUAGCUUGGAAGACCUUUAGAGCAGGGUGUUUUUGCUGCGCCUUUAAGUUUCUUUACCUGUUAAAGAUUUUCUUCCAAAGAAUAUAUAUUUUAAAUGAAAUGAGAUUCUUUUGCGGGAUGGAGGAAGUGAAAGCCCUUUUUGAAGUAUGGAAGUGAACCAAAGAUUUCAUGGUUACGCGUCUGCAUUUCCACAUUUAAGUUAUAUGGGCACUUGUUGUCUGGGGUAUGUUACUAGAAUGCAAUGUUAAAAGUGGAAGUUCUUGUCAGCAUGGUACAAAAUCUGAUUCUCCAAUUGCGAAAGGCAUGUGAAACCGGCCAAAAGGCUGAAAAACAUUGCGGCUUGUUUUGGCUUAACUAGAUAAGUGACUUGCUGACUUAUUGGCUUUUUCAGCCAUAAGUCAUUUUCCCAAAAAGUUUCCAGGUUUGGCUUAACUAGAUACUUAUUGCUUUUUACAUUUUCCUCCAAAUUGUGUGUUGGUCAAAUUCUGAAAAUACCCUUUGUCAAAAUGAAACACACCACCCAUACAUAUUUCCAAAUUCCAACUAGCAAAUAAGGAAAACCACAUAGACAAUCUACUUUUAAGUUUUAAUAGCACCAAUUUCUCAAUAACAUCUUCGACCACAACAUAAUGCCAUACAACAACUUCAAAUACUUGAAACUUAUAUCGUCUUCUAUGACGACAAAGCGCACAACACUUGAUUUUUGCUCCAAAUAUUUCCCAAAUGCUUUGCAAGCCCUGAAAUGUGACAAACAUGUAUGAGAACUCCAACUAACGCAUUAAAGGGGCAUAACAAGCCCAAGUGAGGGGGCAGAAAUAAGCGUAUUUAUGCACCUAUGACCUAUCACAUCCCCCAACUUAAACUUUGCUAGUCCCUAGCAAAGAAAAGAAUUGAACAACUAAUGAAAGUGUUAGAUUACGGGUAUAUUUUAGCUUCCUAGGUGGCCCGGGAAGACGAGUGAAGUCUUGUGAGGGUUGUCAGUUGUGAAUAUCCACAAACUUUGUGAAUCCUUCCACAUAAUCAUUACGAAGAUACAAUGGUAAUACAAGUGCAAAAUACUAUCGAGACAUGCACACAAGCCAUGGCACCUACUUUAGUGUGCGUGGAUACGGGCCCAAGUAACAAGUGAAGUGCCAUUUAAGAGUUCUAUCCGGACCGAGCCUCGACACGUCCCAAGUUCCAUACAAGAAAGACCCCAAUAUUUUUUCAAAUUUUGAGACUCUAAGUACGAACAAAGUACAAAUUACUCCCUUCCCCCAACUUGAACUAUGCAAUGCCCUCAUUGAAUACCAAAGAACAAAAAUAUAGGACAGAAGAGGAAAACAAGGGACAUGUAUCACCGCGCAAUGGAGAACUGUACAUGAUAUAAUAUGGCAGGAGGUUGAUUCCCCAACUUGAAUGAAGCAACCUGCAAAAUUGUUACUCCCCACUACACAACAAGAAUAAAACAGAACAUAAAAGAAACGAACUGACAAAUAAAAGGGAAAAUAAUAAAACAAAAGACGCUAUACAACAGGACAAGCGACCACAGAGUCACUCGUUGUCACCAUUGCUAUGAGGUGGAGGCUGGUAAUGUGGGUAAGACGGAGCCUCAUAGGGUGCUUAAGGAAGGAAGCCGACCAAUGUGUGCAAAAGGCCCCUAAAGUCAUAGGCAUUGCGGUGUUGCUCCAUAGGCCCAAUCAGUGAAUGACCUCUGAAAGAAGUCUUGGGUCCCCAUCCCCAAAUUUAUCUGCGCAACACUCGUGAAUUUUUUGAGAACUUAGAUAAGGGUCCCCGCGAGGGGACGUUGACAACCACGGUUGAUGGGCGGGAGAUGACUUACGGACACAAGAGAUAGCCCCGGCUUUAGGCACUACAUUGUUAAUUCGCCCCCCUUUCCCGAACCCAUUCCGCGCAUGCACCCCACGCGACUCGUUCAAGUUUUACAUGUUGGUAAUUCUCAUGGAGAUCGUAACAUCCAUCGGGCUCACUUGCCUCGCUCAUUGUGGUUUCUUAUUACGUUUUGAAAAAUUUAUGCCCUGAAGGGCAUAAGGAUGAGCGGCGAAAGAUUUUUUUACGUUGCCUUUAUGCACUUCGCAUCGGUACUCCCAUUAAUGCUCCAUGGGUUAAUGCUCCAUGGGUCAUGUUUUUGGAGUUUGAGCGGUUUAAAGGGGAUAUGAAAGAUAAUACUGAGAUUCUAUUCCCUCACAUGGUGACUAUGCUUGUCACCUACCUGCAGUGAGUGGACGCCCGCCUUAUAAGUUUCCCCGUGGCGAGGCCAGGGACGAGGAGGUGGACUUAUUUGUUACAACCACUUGGGGUAAGAGCGUGCGCGGUAUCGAGAAAUCUUUGCAAACUAACCUACCUUUGCUUGCCCCUGCUGAUCCCUUGGUUGCCUGGUGGCAGUUUACCCCACUUUUCACCACUUCCACCACCACAAGAGGAGGAUCGAUGCUUCACUUGAGCCGAGUACCGCAGGAUUCGGUGUGACUUGGCCGAUUUGCAUGAUCACCAAGACUUCUUUCAGAGGUCAUUCACUGACUUUUGUUUGGAAUAACACUGCAAUGCCUAUGACUUUAGGGGCCUCUUGCACACGUUGGUCCGCUUCGGUCGGCCUCCCUCCUCAGGCACCCUAUGAGGCCCCGUCUUGCCCACAUUACCAGCCUCCACCUCGUGGCGAUGGUGAUGAUGAGUGACUUCGUGGUCGCUUGUCCUGUUGUAUAGUGUCUUUUGUUUUAUUGUUUUCCAUUUUAUUUGUCUUUUUUGUUUUGUUUUAUUCUUGUGUCGUGGGGAGUAACAAUUUGCAGGUUGCUUCAUUCAAGAUGGGGGAUCAAUCUCUCGCCAUAUUUUAUCGUGUACAGUUCUCCAUUGCCCUCUGUUUUCCUCUUCUGUCCUAUAUUUUUGUGCUUUGGUAUUCAAUGAGGACAUGACAUAGUUCAAGUUGGGGGAAGGGAGUACUUUGUUCGUACUUAGAGUCUCAAAAAAUUGAAAAAAUAGUGGGGUCUUUGUUGUAUGGAACUUGGGAUUUGUGAGGUGUUUGUGGUUGAUUGUGUUGAGAUAUGUUGUCAUUGCUUUGAUGUUUUGCGGUCUGCUAGGGCACAUUUUGCACUUCAUGAUUAAUCGGGCUAAGGUUGCAUGUGGGUUUCAUUUGGUUGUUCUUGAUGGCUGGAUUAGCAAAGACUUGUGCCCUAGUGACCUUUUGUGUCCUACCUUUUGUUGGAGUGGUGUCACAUGAAUUCUUGUUUGUCAUUAAAAGAAAGAGUAAUUCUUGCUGCCAAGUGUUGGAAUUGCUUGCAUGAAUUAUUAUCUCAUGGGGUUUGGUUUGGGACAUGGUUGUUUCACCCCUAGGAGAGGAUUAUAGGCCACUCUUGAUACUUUGAUCGGGUUUGUUUGUUUCGUUUACAUACUUGCCCCUUGUAAGCCCUUUUGAGCCUCUUGGAUGAUGCCUUUUUCUUGAUUAAGCUCCACUUCCUAAGUCCUAUAUAUUGUCUUGAGAAUGGUGAAUUGAAUGCAAGGGUGAGGUAUUGAACAAAGAGAGAUGGAGAAUGUAAUUGAAAGAUGUGCUUAUUAGUGGUGAUUUCCCCAUUGCUAAAAAAAGAAGAAGAAAAGUUGCACCACAAUUCAAAGAUAAAAGAAUGCAACUUGAAUAAAAGAGGGGAGAUGCCAUGUUACUUG
Molecule: long non-coding RNA, 4881 nt
Organism: Rhododendron vialii
Lineage: Eukaryota; Viridiplantae; Streptophyta; Magnoliopsida; Ericales; Ericaceae
Exons: 2
Source: RefSeq, a predicted model, not a curated record